Long non-coding RNA from Photinus pyralis (common eastern firefly), 4079 nucleotides. RefSeq lists it as uncharacterized. Lineage: Eukaryota; Metazoa; Arthropoda; Insecta; Coleoptera; Lampyridae. The record is from RefSeq and is a predicted model, not a curated record. The transcript has 9 exons.
UAAAGGGUGUAGUUAGGUUAGAUGAAGGUGGUAGUUAGGUUAGACGAAGGUUGUAGUUAGGUUAGAUGAAGGUGAUAGUGAGGUUAGAUGAACCUAACUGAGAAAAAACACCUAACCUCACUAAUAAAGAACUCUAACGUCGCUCACAACAUCUAAACUCUCUUACAAUCACGUACAAAAAACUUAAACCUCACAGGUCCAUGAAAUUAACACCUUUACUUAUGCAACGUAUUUAUUGCUACAAUGGCUACAUACACAUAAAAGAUGUACAAAAAUUACUGCAAUGACUCUUUAUCAAACUACCCGAACCCAGCGGUUCGCUCGGUAACUCAAAAACACUUAUUUAAAUUAGAUUUUGAGCUUCGGGCUUAGGAGAUAGGAUCAACUCAAUUUAUUUUUGAUCGCAUAGAUAUUGUAGUAUACACAAUAGUCAUACGUGUAUUGUGUGUUGCCUACUUCUAAUUUGAAUUUUUGACGUAACAUGCGAGCUGGACUCCCACUAUCGGAUUGUCUCCAAAAAGUCACUAUAUCCAAACUUAGUAAUAUAGGAACUUAAGUCAAAAUCUUUGUCCAUAUUCAACAUUGAACUCAACGAUUUUUUAAUCACAAGUUUAUAUCGUUCAGACAUCUAGCGUUGGAGCAAUAAACUAAUUGUGUUACCAUUAUUUGCAGAAAAUGAUAUUACAACUAGUUUAUUAGUUCAAGCUUUCUUUCAAAGAGAUCGCCACCUAAGUACUCUAGGUCCCUGCAUUUAUCGGCAAACAUUUGAACACUCAGUUUACUUCAUGUACGCCAGAUGUCACAACGAUACAAAAAUUGGAAGUAAGCUUUGAAUUUAUCCUUCAAUUUCUUGAGGUGCUGUUUUUUUAUUAUUCUUUAUGCAAUCAAAGAGGGUGUACAAUGCAGUUAUUAUUAUUAUCGUGCACACCGUGUCUGCUACGAUACCGGCGAUUCAAUUCCAAUUCCAAAAGGAAAAGGGAGUAAAAGGAAGUAGGAAUUACAAGUUUUUUCCAGUGAAUAAAUAAAAAAUUCGCCAGUAAGGGUGUAAUCGACCUUCUUGGUGAUUAUCAUUAUUUUCUCUUAGUACUUCGCAUGGAGAUUGUUAUGUUGGAGAAGGAAAAUAAUAGUCUAAAUUAUGUUGAACAAUGCCGUUUUUCUGAACGUCGUGUAGGUAUGAUUGGUGGCCUACCUAUAAGGGUAAAUUGCGAAUGAAAAUUCAAGUUUUCAUGGAAUUUUAUUGAAGCUCUUAAGAUUCUAAAAACUAAAUUUAUAUUACACGAGUUAGACAUUCAUUUUUCCAUAAGUUCCGCGAGUACUAAACAAAAAUCAAUUUUGGUAUGCAAAGUGGCGACAUGAAACGCUAGUCACCAAUUACAUGUAUUUGCUGCAAGCUAUGUAUGUAUAAAUUUAUGCAGUGCAUAAAUGUAACAAAAUACAGCAAAAUUAGAAAACAGCAGUAUGAUUUAUAAUGAAAAUUUCCGGCGCAUUUUAGGCAAAUUAAUAUCGUUCACACAUCUAGUGCUGGAGGAAUGAACUAAUCAUUACCUAAAUAUCUUAGAUCCUUGCAUUUAUCGGAAAAGUUUUCCGUCAUUGGUUAGCGACAUCUAUGUUAAAUGGAUGCAACAUUACGGAGGAAAUAGUAAAGUGCCCUGCAACAAUUUGCACUUAGUUCAAGCAAAUAACGUUAGAUGUCAGAACGAUAUCUUUUAUGAAUUUUAGUGCCUACCGUAAUUUUGUCUUAUGAUGUUGCUACAUUUUAGCCUAAAACAAAUAAAUUUCAAAGUUUAUAAUUGGUUGCUGUCAUUGUUUAAUCAUAUACAAUAGUUUCAUGUUCACAACAAUUGAUUUGUUUACGUGCGAAAUGUGUACCCUGGUGUAUAGGCAACUCAUCAUACAUUCAUUCUGGAUUCUGAACAGGAGGUCAUUAUUUGUAACAAUAACCAAAUAGCAACAAAAAUAAAAGUUUUGUUGUCAAAAUUAUGUAAAUUACAAACAAGGUAGGUACCUAAUAAAUUUUUGAAUGUGUACCCAGAUUUUGGUUCACAUAGGGAUGGUGUCCAGAACUCAAGACGGUCAAUGUAGCAACCCUAGCUCUUCCCGUUGAAUGUACCACUUUUAUUUGUUAGAAAAACUUCCCAACUUUUCAUGGGAGAUCACUAAUUAAAAAUUGAGCUGGUUAACACCGCUCUGGAAUGGAAUACAGAGCGGUGUCCCAAAUAUCUCCACCACCAUUGCUUCUAAUGGUUUUUUAAGCUUAUUCUUUCUUCAAAUGGAGGGGUAGGAAAUCGAAUAAUCGCAAUGCUAUCCGAGAGAGGUACUCUUUUCAGUCCAUAGAAAAAGUUACCACCUUGGGGAGAUCCCUAACUAAAAAUUGAGCUGGCCAACACCGCUCUGGAAUGGAACACAGGGAGGUAAUUCCCUUUGAUUGUCAACGAUUUUCUGGAGAUGGAGGGGUAGAUCCUCAAUGAUCCCGACACUGUCAUCAGAGAUGUGCCUCUUCUAGUGAAUCAACAUCCCCAUGAAAUGCCCACCAUCUUUUCAUGAGAUCUCCAAGUAAAAAUGGCCAACACUGCACUGGAAUGGAAUAUAAGUAGAUAGGCCAUUAUUUGUAACAAUAACGAAAUAGCAACAAAAAUAAUAAAAGUUUUGUUGUCAAAAUUAUGUAAAUUACAAACAAGGGAUGGUGUCCAGAACUCAAGACGGUCAAUGUAGCAACCCUAGCUCUUCGCGAUGAAUGUACCACUUUUAUUUGUUAGAAAAACUUCCCAACUUUUCAUGGGAGAUCACUAAUUAAAAAUUGAGCUGGUUAACACCUCUCUGGAAUGGAAUACAGAGCGGUGUCUCAAAUAUCUCCACCGCCAUUGAUUCUAAUGGUUUUUUAAGCUUAUUCUUUCUUGAAAUGGAGGGGUAGGAAAUCGAAUAAUCGCAAUGCUAUCCGAGAGAGGUAUUCUUUUCAGUCCCUAGAAAAAGUUACCACCAUGGGGAGAUCUCCCUAACUAAAGAUUGAGCUGGCCAACACCGCUCUGGAAUGGAAUACAGGGAGGUAAUUCCCUUUGAUUGUCAACGAUUUUCUGGAGAUGGAGGGGUAGAUCCUCAAUGAUCCCGACACUGUCAUCAGAGAUGUGCCUCUUCCAGUGAAUCAACAUCCCCAUGAAAUGCCCACCAUCUUUUCAUGAGAUCUCCAAGUAAAAAUGGCCAACACCGGACUGGAAUGGAAUAUAAGUAGAGCUAAUUCAAUUGUCAACGAAUUUCUGGAAAUGGAGGGGUAGGAAAUGGAACAAUCGCAAUGCUAUCCGAGAGAGGUACCACUUUCAGUCCCUAGAAACUUACCACCUUUUCAUGGGAGAUCCCUAACUAAAAAUUGAGCUGGCCAACACCGCUCUGGAAAGGAAUACUUAGAGGGAGGUAAUUCCCUUUGAUUGUCAACAAUUUUCUGGAGAUGGAGGAGUAGAUCCUCGAUGAUCCCGACACUGUCAUCACAGACGUGCCUCUUCCAGUCAAUUCAACAUUCCCAUGAAAUGCCCACCAUCUUUUCACGAGAUCCCCAAGUAAAAAUGGAGCUGGCACUGGAAGGGUUAAGUAGAGCUAAUUCAAUUGUCAACGAUUUUCUGGAGAUAGUAGGCCUUGCUGUCGUUAGAAAAGGUUACCCCAUUUUCGUAUGUGAUUCCUAAUUCAAAAUGCAGGUCACCAACCUCACUUCGAUUGGGGACAACGUUCGAAGCACGGUGAGAUGGAGAAAUACAGUACUGACGGGUAAUCCCCAUCUUCUCUGUCGAGGACUACAGCGACGGAUGCAGUAAGGAAACCACGUCCGUUUCGGAAAUCUGGAAAAUACAAAUCCGUCGUGAGUAUCGGUACAAACUAAUUUCGUUCGUUCGUGUCAAAGCCCUAACUGCACUUGGAAGUACACUUAGUGCAGCACGCGUAGGUAUACGAUUCCUACCGAUUGUUCUAAUCAGGUUAGAAAGGAUGAGGAUGACAACUAUAAAAACCAAAAGGCAUAUUUCAAUUUUAAAUUUUUUGGAAUAAAAAAAAAAAUAAAAAAACGAAAAAAAAAUCAAAAUAAAAAAAAUAUAAUU